Molecule: transfer RNA, 73 nt
Filed under: Candidatus Obscuribacterales bacterium
Lineage: Bacteria; Bacillati; Candidatus Melainabacteria; Candidatus Obscuribacterales
Description: tRNA-Val
Rfam family: tRNA
About the family: Transfer RNA (tRNA) molecules are approximately 80 nucleotides in length. Their secondary structure includes four short double-helical elements and three loops (D, anti-codon, and T loops).
Source: RNAcentral
GGGCGAUUAGCGCAGUUGGUAGCGCAGCAUGUUCACAUCGUGAAGGUCGGGGGUUCGAAUCCCUCAUCGCCCA